UGAGGACAGGGCUCUAGGCCUGCGGGGCUCCGAGAGCCAUCGGCGUUUGGCUACAGCUUCUGAUUUUACCUCUGCGGUGCACACACCGCUGUGUGUGACAGCAGGCUGCGGGCCAGACUGCCUGGGCCAGGACCCCACUCCGCCUCCUCCCGCGGCCGAGCAAUCUCAGGCCGGCUGCCUCCUCCCUCUGUGCCUCAACUUCCCCAUCUGUAACAGGAGACGACAGGAAUACCUCGUCUUACAGACCUGUCGUGGUGAGAAUUACAGCAGUCAAUCCUACAGAAGGCUGGCUGCAGGGGCAAGGCAGCGAGGACAGGGACUGGGCCCGGCGUCCGCAAGGGUCCCCGCUUGGGAGUGAAUGCUCUGGGGUCACUGCCUAGCAAUCCUUAAUUUUGCCUUUUGAAUUUCUGCUUUUGGAAAUGAAUUCCCAAGGGACCUCGUUGCCAGCUCCAGGCUCGGAGGCUGCGCUCCGGAGGGGUCCGCCCCCUGCCUCCCGGGAGCGGGAGCGGGUUCCAGGCCGCAGGGUCCCCAGCCCCCGCCCCGCCCCCACCCGGCGCCCGCGGCCGCGCUCGGCUCCCAGGGGGGCUGGGGGUGGGCGCCGGAGGGUCUGGGUCCCCGGGUGCGCCGCGGCGUCUCCGAUCGAUGGGGGCGGGGCAGCGUGUGUCCCCCUGGGCUGGCAGGGCCCACCCCUUCCGGGCCCCCAGCGCGUGCCGGUGCAGAGAGAGAAAUGCCCUGGGGCCCUGGGGCCACAGGUCUGCCGCAGGUUGGGUGGUGGGCUUCCCCGCCCCCCGCCGGCGCGGUGCCUCUGUUUGGAGUGUGGGGGUGCCGGGAAGUCAGCAGCUGGGGGGGGGGGGGGGCUGUGCACCCUGACCCCUGACUGGCGGCACCUGGCAGGGUCUGCACGCCCCCCGCGAGUGUCCCUGUGCCCCGGGGAGAGUGGCAUCAAAUAGAAAAUAAAAGCACCAGGAUGAGCCCAGAGAUAGGCCACAGAAGAAAGGAAAAUACUUAAUAUUUCAGUCCCCUUUCCCUGCUUUUUCAUCAGGGGUCCCAUAUGCCCAUUUGCAUUGGGCCCUGCAAGUUUCGUCACCAGACCUGCGGAGAACGGGAGCCGGCUCGUAAUCGGAGGGCGAGAAAAGGGCGCUCACGGUGACCGAAGACCAAUUCAGUCGUGGAGAUGACAGGCAUCGUCCAGUCUGAGCCUUUCAACGACCACUUUCUGGCAAGCAGCGAGGCCCUAAGUCUUGACUCGAAUUUCAACGCGGUGUAUGUUUCUUCCGGAGCCAAAAGUUCUCGGCAACGUUUUCAAGUGUUUUGGUCUCGGGACACUUACACUCCUGAAAGUUACUCAGAGCCCCUGAGGAGAUCCGAGGAGCAUCCCCGACCCCACCUGAGAGAAGAAUGUAGGGCAGGCCCUGUGGAAAGUGGUUUGCUUUAGUCCAGCUAAGCAAUUUAAUAUCGAGACAAGGAAGAGAUUGUUGCUUGCACAUGCAGGUUUUUUCUACGGAGGCGAAAUAUGAUGAUAUUAUUUAUUCAUCAUAUGUACCCUCACCUUUUCCAAAAGGGACCGGAGGCUGCCACAAAAUGAAAUCGAGUUCUCCGACUCAAACUCGGAAUUCUCUUACUGCAGAAAAAGGCAAGGCGGGUUGGGAUUUGUUUUGUCGUCGUUGUUUGCUAUUGCUCUACUUGUCCUCAUUUUUUCUUUCGCCUUCCCAAGGCUACUUCAUCUUCCCACAUGGACAAUGCAAGAAAUGUUCGAGCGUGCACACUGUUUCGUUACCAUCAGGCAGAGGGACAUUGGUUCUUCACAUGAAAUUGUUGGCCGGCAAUAUAAAUUUACUUUCUAGUAGAUCCCCUCAAGCAGGCAUGAUAUCAUUCAUAUAUCUUAAAUAAAAGAGAGUAUCAAAAAGCUCA
This is an RNA transcript of Felis catus (domestic cat), 1911 nucleotides long. It is a transcript of the gene named X-ray repair cross complementing 2, with no coding region annotated. NCBI's taxonomy places the organism in Eukaryota, Metazoa, Chordata, Mammalia, Carnivora, Felidae. The record is from RefSeq and is a predicted model, not a curated record. The transcript has 5 exons.